UUCAUACUAAUUCUACACCACUUUACAGCAUACAAACACAAUCUAUGUUUCUCUACAGGAUCCAGAGGUCAGGUGACUGUGACUCAGACUCCUUCAGUGCAAACUACGGUCGGAAACACAGUCACCAUCAACUGUAAAACCAGUAGCAGUGUGUAUAAUGGUAACUGUCUCGCCUGGUACCUGCAGAAACCUGGAGAAGCUCCUAAACUCCUGAUCUAUUACGCUACAAGCUUACAGUCAGGAAUUCCAGCUCGUUUCAGAGGCAGUGGAUCGAAUACUGACUUCACUCUGACCAUCAGUGGAGUCCAGACUGAAGAUGCAGGAGAUUACUACUGUCAGAGUGUUCAUGUGAUCAGUAGUAGCUAUGUGUUCACACAGUGUUAGAGCAUCGUACAAAAACCUCGGUCAGUGAGAGUGUACAGAGAAGCACUGCUGCAGCUGGGAGAGACUGCAGGUGCUGAGGGGGAGGAUGUGAUACACACAAUCACACACACUGUGGAUGAGAGAAAACACACCACACUAACACACUAAUACACACAUCUGUAACACAUCUGUAACAGGAGUCCAUCUUUCACAUCUGUAGAUUUUCAAACAUUUCCUGAUCUUUCUGAUU
This is a non-coding RNA of Silurus meridionalis, 613 nucleotides long. The record is from the annotation of a RefSeq genome assembly. Lineage: Eukaryota; Metazoa; Chordata; Actinopteri; Siluriformes; Siluridae.